UGGCGGCGCGCCUAACACAUGCAAGUCGAACGAGCGAGAGAGAGGUUGCUUUCUCAAGCGAGUGGCGAACGGGUGAGUAACGCGUGAGGAACCUGCCUCAAAGAGGGGGACAACAGUUGGAAACGACUGCUAAUACCGCAUAAGCCCACGACCCGGCAUCGGGUAGAGGGAAAAGGAGCAAUCCGCUUUGAGAUGGCCUCGCGUCCGAUUAGCUAGUUGGUGAGGUAACGGCCCACCAAGGCGACGAUCGGUAGCCGGACUGAGAGGUUGAACGGCCACAUUGGGACUGAGACACGGCCCAGACUCCUACGGGAGGCAGCAGUGGGGAAUAUUGCACAAUGGGGGAAACCCUGAUGCAGCGACGCCGCGUGGAGGAAGAAGGUCUUCGGAUUGUAAACUCCUGUUGUUGAGGAAGAUAAUGACGGUACUCAACAAGGAAGUGACGGCUAACUACGUGCCAGCAGCCGCGGUAAAACGUAGGUCACAAGCGUUGUCCGGAAUUACUGGGUGUAAAGGGAGCGCAGGCGGGAAGACAAGUUGGAAGUGAAAUCCAUGGGCUCAACCCAUGAACUGCUUUCAAAACUGUUUUUCUUGAGUAGUGCAGAGGUAGGCGGAAUUCCCGGUGUAGCGGUGGAAUGCGUAGAUAUCGGGAGGAACACCAGUGGCGAAGGCGGCCUACUGGGCACCAACUGACGCUGAGGCUCGAAAGUGUGGGUAGCAAACAGGAUUAGAUACCCUGGUAGUCCACACUGUAAACGAUGAUUACUAGGUGUUGGAGGAUUGACCCCUUCAGUGCCGCAGUAACACAAUAAGUAAUCCACCUGGGGAGUACGACCGCAAGGUUGAAACUCAAAGGAAUUGACGGGGGCCCGCACAAGCAGUGGAGUAUGUGGUUUAAUUCGACGCAACGCGAAGAACCUUACCAAGUCUUGACAUCCUGCGACGGUGCUGGAAACAGUACUUUCCUUCGGGACGCAGAGACAGGUGGUGCAUGGUUGUCGUCAGCUCGUGUCGUGAGAUGUUGGGUUAAGUCCCGCAACGAGCGCAACCCUUAUGGUCAGUUACUACGCAAGAGGACUCUGGCCAGACUGCCGUUGACAAAACGGAGGAAGGUGGGGAUGACGUCAAAUCAUCAUGCCCUUUAUGACUUGGGCUACACACGUACUACAAUGGCGUUAAACAAAGAGAAGCAAGACCGCGAGGUGGAGCAAAACUCAGAAACAACGUCCCAGUUCGGACUGCAGGCUGCAACUCGCCUGCACGAAGUCGGAAUUGCUAGUAAUCGCAGAUCAGCAUGCUGCGGUGAAUACGUUCCCGGGCCUUGCACAAAGCGCCCGUC
This 1339-nucleotide ribosomal RNA is filed under the name uncultured bacterium. RNAcentral's name for it is "bacterial SSU rRNA". It matches the Rfam family "Bacterial small subunit ribosomal RNA", at positions 37 to 1398 of the family's 1533-position model. The record is from RNAcentral.